Molecule: ribosomal RNA, 523 nt
Filed under: uncultured bacterium
Lineage: Bacteria
Description: bacterial SSU rRNA
Rfam family: Bacterial small subunit ribosomal RNA
Source: RNAcentral
GGGGAAUAUUGCACAAUGGGGGAAACCCUGAUGCAGCGACGCCGCGUGAGUGAAGAAGUAUUUCGGUAUGUAAAGCUCUAUCAGCAGGGAAGAUAAUGACAGUACCUGACUAAGAAGCCCCGGCUAACUACGUGCCAGCAGCCGCGGUAAUACGUAGGGGGCAAGCGUUAAUCGGAAUUACUGGGCGUAAAGCGAGCGCAGACGGUUACUUAAGCAGGAUGUGAAAUCCCCGGGCUCAACCUGGGAACUGCGUUCUGAACUGGGUGACUAGAGUGUGUCAGAGGGAGGUAGAAUUCCACGUGUAGCAGUGAAAUGCGUAGAGAUGUGGAGGAAUACCGAUGGCGAAGGCAGCCUCCUGGGAUAACACUGACGUUCAUGCUCGAAAGCGUGGGUAGCAAACAGGAUUAGAUACCCUGGUAGUCCACGCCCUAAACGAUGUCAAUUAGCUGUUGGGCAACUUGAUUGCUUAGUAGCGUAGCUAACGCGUGAAAUUGACCGCCUGGGGAGUACGGUCGCAAGAUUA